AACGUAGGGGACAAGCGUUAUCCGGAUUUACUGGGCGUAAAGCGCCCGUAGGCGGCUUAACAAGUUGGAUGUGAAAGCUCCCGGCUUAACUGGGAGAGGUCAUUCAAAACUGUUAGGCUAGAGGAUGGAAGAGGAGAGCGGAAUUCCCGGUGUAGUGGUGGAAUGCGUAGAGAUCGGGAGGAACACCAGUGGCGAAAGCGGCUCUCUGGUUCACACCUGACGCUGAGGGGCGAAAGCGUGGGGAGCGAACAGG
This 253-nucleotide ribosomal RNA is filed under the name uncultured bacterium. RNAcentral's name for it is "partial 16S ribosomal RNA". It matches the Rfam family "Bacterial small subunit ribosomal RNA", at positions 524 to 776 of the family's 1533-position model. The record is from RNAcentral.